RNAcentral lists this ribosomal RNA (807 nucleotides) under uncultured Pelagibacteraceae bacterium. RNAcentral describes it as "bacterial SSU rRNA". It matches the Rfam family "Bacterial small subunit ribosomal RNA", at positions 33 to 888 of the family's 1533-position model. Lineage: Bacteria; Pseudomonadati; Pseudomonadota; Alphaproteobacteria; Candidatus Pelagibacterales; Candidatus Pelagibacteraceae. The record is from RNAcentral.
ACGCUGGCGGCACGCCUAACACAUGCAAGUCGAACGAAGUAGCAAUACUUAGUGGCAGACGGGUGAGUAACAUGUAGGUAUCUACCCUUUGGCCUGGAAUAACACGAGGAAACUUGUGCUAAUACCGGAUAAGUCUUUACGGAGAAAGCUUUAUGCACCAUUGGAUGAGCCUGCACUUGAUUAGUUUGUUGGUGGGGUAAUGGCCUACCAAGACUGUGAUCAAUAGCUGAUUUGAGAGGAUGAUCAGCCACAUUGGGACUGAGACACGGCCCAAACUCCUACGGGAGGCAGCAGUGGGGAAUCUUGCACAAUGGAGGAAACUCUGAUGCAGCGAUGCCGCGUGAGUGAAGAAGGCCCUUGGGUUGUAAAGCUCUUUCGUCGGGGAAGAAAAUGACUGUACCCGAAUAAGAAGGUCCGGCUAACUUCGUGCCAGCAGCCGCGGUAAUACGAAGGGACCUAGCGUAGUUCGGAAUUACUGGGCUUAAAGAGUUCGUAGGUGGUUGAAAAAGUUGGUGGUGAAAUCCCAGAGCUUAACUCUGGAACUGCCAUCAAAACUUUUCAGCUAGAGUAUGAUAGAGGAAAGUAGAAUUUCUAGUGUAGAGGUGAAAUUCGUAGAUAUUAGAAAGAAUACCAAUUGCGAAGGCAGCUUUCUGGAUCAUUACUGACACUGAGGAACGAAAGCAUGGGUAGCGAAGAGGAUUAGAUACCCUCGUAGUCCAUGCCGUAAACGAUGUGUGUUAGACGUUGGAAAUUUAUUUUCAGUGUCGCAGCAAAAGCGAUAAACACACCGCCUGGGGAGUACGACCG